This 438-nucleotide ribosomal RNA is filed under the name uncultured bacterium. RNAcentral describes it as "partial 16S ribosomal RNA". It matches the Rfam family "Bacterial small subunit ribosomal RNA", at positions 73 to 507 of the family's 1533-position model. The record is from RNAcentral.
ACGGGCUUCGGCCUGGUGGCGAGUGGCGAACGGGUGAGUAAUGCAUCGGAACGUACCGGGUAAUGGGGGAUAACGUAGCGAAAGUUACGCUAAUACCGCAUACGCCCUGAGGGGGAAAGCGGGGGAUCGUAAGACCUCGCGUUAUACGAGCGGCCGAUGUCGGAUUAGCUAGUUGGGGGGGUAAAGGCCUACCAAGGCGACAAUCCGUAGCGGGUCUGAGAGGAUGAUCCGCCACACUGGGACUGAAACACGGCCCAAACUCCUACGGGAGGCAGCAGGGGGGAAUUUUGGACAAUGGGCGCAAGCCUGAUCCAGCCAUGCCGCGUGAGUGAAGAAGGCCUUCGGGUUGUAAAGCUCUUUCAAACGGAAAGAAAUCGCGCGCUCUAACAUAGCGCGUGGAUGACGGUACCGUAAGAAAAAGCACCGGCUAACUACGUG